This is a long non-coding RNA of Eucalyptus grandis, 1478 nucleotides long. RefSeq lists it as uncharacterized. Lineage: Eukaryota; Viridiplantae; Streptophyta; Magnoliopsida; Myrtales; Myrtaceae. The transcript is spliced from 3 exons. The record is from RefSeq and is a predicted model, not a curated record.
ACCAUUCUGAACCAUAGGGUUCUUCAAUGUGCACAGCUGUCAAUGCAGUUGGUAUUUCAUCUGCCUGGUACGAGUUAUCAAAUCUAUACCAACAUCUUAGUGCUGUAUGACCUGAUUUCUUACAGAUCUGGCAUUGCAGAGGGCCAUUACUUAUAGGCUUUGUAAUCUAUGUUUGUCUAUCACCAUUUGAACUUUGUGGUGGAUAAGACCUAACACUUUGAUACCUCUAUGAAGGGUUUGAAUAUGGUCUAAAUCCUUGUCCAUAGUUAGACUAGUUAUCCUUAUUAACCUGACCUUGCUGAGUUGAAUUCAGGUUAUUCAUUUUAUUUUGUUGAUUCAUUCCUACUUCUGUAAAAUUAUUUCCAUAUUCCCUUCUAUUGAGAGACUGACCUCUGCCAUAGCUAAAUCCCCCCCAAAUAUUUUCUCUUUGAUUUCUGGGAUUGACUUUCUGCAAACUUGUUCCAGUUCUUCUUUGCCCAUAAUAAGCCAAGUUAGUAUUGUACUCGUUCACAUAAUAUGUUUGCAAUCUGGUUUCAAAUCUCUCAAGUUGUGAGAUAACCUCAUCAUACUCUGGCUGGGGUUCAAGGCAAUACAUGGUUGUCCUGAAGGUUUCAUAUUCAUAAGCUAACCCUUCAAGUAUGCCAAACAUUCUGGUUAUAUCAUCAACAUGCUUUCCAAUUGCAUUUAAUUGAUCACAUAUGGUUUUGAAUUCUCGAAGGUAUUCACUUAAUGAUCUGUUUCUUUUCCUACAAGCCUGUAAUUUUCCUCUUUAACUCAAAUUCCUUUGUAGCAGACUUCUAUGUAAAUCUAUUUAUGAGAGCCUGCCAUACUCCGAAUGAGGUUUCUAAGCCAAUUAUCAGACUUAGAAUAUUUUUUGAUACCACACCACUUAUCCAGGAUGAUAUAAGCUGAUAAGUUUUUAUCCAAUCCAGGUGAUCAGGAUUCAUCACUUUUCCUAUCUCAGUCUGUAUCAUUUGAGUAGGAGGUUUUGAUGUCAUGGAUCGCCAACUCAUCAGUUCAGCUCAAGAUCGCCAGCUCAUCUUCUUUUCUAUUUUGAGCUUCGUUUAGAAGUUUGCGACAUUCCUCUGCUUCAGCUUCCUCUGCCUCAUCAGCUCGGCAGCAUGAAGAACCGCGUGGACGAGCUGAACGAGGAGACGUUCGCGUACAAGCAUACCAUGAUCGAUCUUGAGGAGAGAUUUGAAUCCAUUGCUUACGAAGUCAAGCUUGAGCCGACGCCUGAUGGGGGGAGCAAGAACACAAUGACCAGCACGUACUAUGUCAAGGGCAACGUCAAGCUUGAAGAAGAAGAUAUCAAAGCCGGCAAAGAGAGAGCCUUGGGAAUGUACAAGAUCGCUGAAGCGUACCUCCUCCAAAACCCCAAUGCUUAUGUUUGAAACUUCAAGAGUGCUCUCUCAAUGAAUUUAGAGCAAUCCCCUCAAUAAGCACACAUGAUAUAUUGUGUUUUGUCUCAAAGUCGU